This 599-nucleotide ribosomal RNA is filed under the name Microbotryum reticulatum. Its description in RNAcentral is "LSU rRNA". It matches the Rfam family "Eukaryotic large subunit ribosomal RNA", at positions 72 to 668 of the family's 3401-position model. Lineage: Eukaryota; Fungi; Basidiomycota; Microbotryomycetes; Microbotryales; Microbotryaceae. The record is from RNAcentral.
GGAUUCCCCUAGUAACGGCGAGCGAAGCGGGAAAAGCUCAAAUUUGUAAUCUGGCGCCUUCGGCGUCCGAGUUGUAAUCUCGAGAAGUAUUUUCCGCGCUGGACCGCACAUAAGUCUGUUGGAAUACAGCGUCAUAGUGGUGAGAACCCCGUAUAUGGUGCGGAUGCCCAGUGCUUUGUGAUAUACUUUCGAAGAGUCGAGUUGUUUGGGAAUGCAGCUCAAAUUGGGUGGUAAAUUCCAUCUAAAGCUAAAUAUUGGCGAGAGACCGAUAGCGAACAAGUACCGUGAGGGAAAGAUGAAAAGCACUUUGGAAAGAGAGUUAACAGUACGUGAAAUUGUUGGAAGGGAAACGCUUGAAGUCAGACUUGCAUUUUGGAGUUCAGCCGCAAGGUGUAUUCUUCAAUUCGCAGGCCAGCAUCAGUUUUCGGGGGUGGAAAAUCGCGGUUUGAAGGUAGCAGUUUCGGCUGUGUUAUAGCUUUCCGCUGGAUUCACUUUUGGGGACUGAGGAACGCAGUACGCUUUUUGCAAGAUUCUAGAGUCUUUCGUACUUAGGAUGCUGGUGGAAUGGCUUUAAACGACCCGUCUUGAAACACGGACCA